AGCCUUUUACAUCGGCGACGAGGUGCCUAUAUCAGCUCUCGUCGGGUUCCACCCGACUAUGGCGAUAAAUCGUGGCGUAGAAUAGACGCAGCGGACCCGGGGGCGGUACCCGGCGGCUCCACCAUCGCAGCUGAGGUGCUUAGGCCACGCUUUCCACGCGCGGUGACGGGCCACAGCUUCGCUGACGGGGCCGAAACAGAAUCGACGUGUGUUGAAAGGCGCUGCUUUCGCUCGGAAUGGGACCACCGCAACGGCCCAUUACACAAGUGCCAACGAUAACGAAGCACUCGCGAUUGCGGCGUAACUGAGGGCUUAACGGCCUAAAGUUACACCAAAAUAGCGCGGUUCGGACCCCACCGGGCAACAGAAGGGGAAACCA
This 379-nucleotide transfer-messenger RNA is filed under the name Sphingomonas hominis. It matches the Rfam family "Alphaproteobacteria transfer-messenger RNA". From Rfam's summary of the family: Bacterial tmRNA, also known as 10Sa RNA or SsrA, is named for its dual tRNA and mRNA-like properties. Its role is to liberate the mRNA from a stalled ribosome. To accomplish this part of the tmRNA is used as a reading frame that ends in a translation stop signal. Lineage: Bacteria; Pseudomonadati; Pseudomonadota; Alphaproteobacteria; Sphingomonadales; Sphingomonadaceae. The record is from RNAcentral.